Hibiscus syriacus is the source of this 143-nucleotide long non-coding RNA. RefSeq lists it as uncharacterized. The transcript is spliced from 2 exons. NCBI's taxonomy places the organism in Eukaryota, Viridiplantae, Streptophyta, Magnoliopsida, Malvales, Malvaceae. The record is from RefSeq and is a predicted model, not a curated record.
AAAAUUGGAGCUCAAGGGCUUCCGUUCCACAAAAGAAGUGGUGUUUUCAUGCACUUUGCGAUGUUACAUAUAUACGAUACGAAAAUUUAAUUGGGUUUACGUUUAUGAUAUGUAAAAUGCCUUUUACUUCUGGCUUGAAUGCU